RNAcentral lists this ribosomal RNA (494 nucleotides) under uncultured soil bacterium. Its description in RNAcentral is "bacterial SSU rRNA". It matches the Rfam family "Bacterial small subunit ribosomal RNA", at positions 26 to 509 of the family's 1533-position model. The record is from RNAcentral.
AGAUUGAACGCUGGCGGCAUGCCUUACACAUGCAAGUCGAACGGCAGCACGGGAGCAAUCCUGGUGGCGAGUGGCGAACGGGUGAGUAAUAUAUCGGAACGUGCCCAGUCGUGGGGGAUAACGCAGCGAAAGCUGUGCUAAUACCGCAUACGAUCUAUGGAUGAAAGCGGGGGAUCGCAAGACCUCGCGCGAUUGGAGCGGCCGAUAUCAGAUUAGCUAGUUGGUGGGGUAAAAGCCUACCAAGGCGACGAUCUGUAGCUGGUCUGAGAGGACGACCAGCCACACUGGAACUGAGACACGGUCCAGACUCCUACGGGAGGCAGCAGUGGGGAAUUUUGGACAAUGGGCGCAAGCCUGAUCCAGCAAUGCCGCGUGCAGGAUGAAGGCCUUGGUGUAACUGCUUUUGUACGGAACGAAACGGUUACGUCUCUAAUACCAAGGGCGUAAAGUGACGGUAACCGUAAGAAAUAAGACAACCGGCUAACUAACGUACG